CCUACGGGAGGCAGCAGUGGGGAAUUUUCCGCAAUGGGCGAAAGCCUGACGGAGCAAUACCGCGUGAGGGAAGAAUGCCUACGGGUUGUAAACCUCUUUUAUCAGGGAGGAACAAAAUGACGUGUACCUGAUGAAUAAGCAUCGGCUAACUCUGUGCCAGCAGCCGCGGUAAGACAGAGGAUGCAAGUGUUAUCCGGAAUUACUGGGCGUAAAGCGUCUGUAGGUUGUUGAACAAGUCAACUGUUAAAUCUUGAAGCUCAACUUCAAAAUCGCAGUCGAAACUGUUUGACUAGAGUAUAGUAGAGGUAAAGGGAAUUUCCAGUGGAGCGGUGAAAUGCGUAGAUAUUGGAAAGAACACCGAUGGCGAAAGCACUUUACUGGGCUAUUACUGACACUCAGAGACGACAGCUAGGGUAGCAAAUGGGAUUAGAUACCCCAGUAGUCCUAGCCGUAAACUAUGGAUACUAGAUGUUGAACAGAUCGACCUGUGCAGUAUUAAAGCUAACGCGUUAAGUAUCCCGCCUGGGAAGUAUGCUCGCAAGAGUAGAAACUUAAUGAAUUGACGNNGAGACGNGCGAGACGACGACGAGGGAGAGG
RNAcentral lists this ribosomal RNA (597 nucleotides) under uncultured bacterium. RNAcentral describes it as "bacterial SSU rRNA". It matches the Rfam family "Bacterial small subunit ribosomal RNA", at positions 338 to 947 of the family's 1533-position model. The record is from RNAcentral.